RNAcentral lists this ribosomal RNA (456 nucleotides) under uncultured bacterium. RNAcentral's name for it is "bacterial SSU rRNA". It matches the Rfam family "Bacterial small subunit ribosomal RNA", at positions 30 to 507 of the family's 1533-position model. The record is from RNAcentral.
AUUGAACGCUGGCGGCAGGCCUAACACAUGCAAGUCGAGCGCGAAAGCACUUCGGUGUGAGUAAAGCGGCGACGGGUGAGUAACGCGUAGGAAUCUACCUAGGUAUGGGGGACGAACUCGGGGAAACUCGAGCUAAUACCGCAUACGCCUACGGGGGAAAGCGGGGGACCUUCGGGCCUCGUGCUAUUAGAUGAGCCUGCGUAAGAUUAGCUUGUUGGUAGGGUAAUGGCCUACCAAGGCAACGAUCAGUAGCUGGUCUGAGAGGAUGAUCAGCCACACUGGGACUGAGACACGGCCCAGACUCCUACGGGAGGCAGCAGUNGGGGAAUAUUGGACAAUGGGGGCAACCCUGAUCCAGCAAUGCCGCGUGUGUGAAGAAGGCCCUUGGGUUGUAAAGCUCUUUCGUCGGGGAAGAAAAUGACUGUACCCGAAUAAGAAGGUCCGGCUAACUUCGUG